Molecule: ribosomal RNA, 254 nt
Filed under: uncultured bacterium
Lineage: Bacteria
Description: partial 16S ribosomal RNA
Rfam family: Bacterial small subunit ribosomal RNA
Source: RNAcentral
UACGUAGGGUGCAAGCGUUGUCCGGAAUUAUUGGGCGUAAAGAGCUCGUAGGCGGUCUGUCGCGUCGGCUGUGAAAACCCGGAGCUCAACUCCGGGCCUGCAGUCGAUACGGGGCAGACUGGAGUUCGGCAGGGGAGACUGGAAUUCCUGGUGUAGCGGUGAAAUGCGCAGAUAUCAGGAGGAACACCGGUGGCGAAGGCGGGUCUCUGGGCCGAUACUGACGCUGAGGAGCGAAAGCGUGGGGAGCGAACAGG